CUGUAAAGAGAAGCCAUUUGUAGCCAAACGAUGUCUCUGCAUAGUUCGCAAUAAGCAGCCGCUGCGUCUAAAUACGUCUAAGCUUUACAUGAUUUCACAGCAGCUCUUGUUGUUUGUGUCUCCAGCCAUCCAGCUCACACACACGGAGCGGAUGCGCCGAUGGUGUGGCCAUCACUGCUGGGAUAUAAAGCCGGCGGCCAUGAAGCGACUGUCACUUCUCCUCAGCCAGAGCCAGCGUUGGCCCAGCUUUCUGCAUGUGUGUUUUUAGUGCCUGUGAGCGCGGCGCUUAUGUGUGAGGGGGAAGGAAGGAAGGAAGGAAGGAAGGAAGGAAGGAAGGAAGGAAGGAAGGAAGGAAGGAAGGAAGGAAGGAAGGAAGGAAGAACUUCUCUGAUCGCAAACGUGCGGGCGCCUUGUUUUUCUCCAGCGACUGCUGAUCAGCUCAUUCAUCUGUGUGGAUUUGUAUAAGCUGUGCAGCAUUAACACCGUGGACACGACCUGUGUGGUAAAACAGGCUGGUUCAAUUCUCAUUCGAGUCACGUGGUCUGCUGGGAACGGUGUGUCAUGUGACCAGCGUUGGAUGGGACCUAAUGUCACCCACCGGACCCACACAUCAUGUGGACGCCGUCGCCGUGAUGUGACCUAAACUGCCUUAAUGCUCCUGAACUCUGUGGCUCUGGAGCCGACCUUUCACCUUUGACCUUGGCCAGCCUCCUGGGGGAGCGCGAUGCUCAGUGAUGGAUGUGCAGCGCGCACGCACCCGCGCGUGAACGCGGUCGCGGCGACACGCGGCGGCCGCAUGCAUGCGGAGACGUGUACUCACCACACAUUGCACCAGGGGGGCAGCCAGAAACUCCUUCCCGUCUUCUCUUUAUCCGAGCAUGUUGUCAGCCUCUUCUUCUCCUCUGUCCUGCUGGCUUCCUCCUCCUGCCCCUCCUCCUCCUCCCCCUCCCUGUCCCCCCGCUCACCACCGCUGUUCAGGUCCAGCUCUGUCGCUGGUGGGGAGAAUCCAGGCGACGCACGCACACGCACACACGCGAGCGCACGCGGCUCCGGUGGUGGUGGUGGUGGUGGUGGAGGGGGGGCGGCGCUCGGAUAACGCGCUCGGACGCAGCUGGGUCCGAAGAUCGGCGCACGCGCGCAGCUGGUCUAUGCGCAGCUGGACGGAGACGGAGGCAUCGCGUCGUCGUGUGCUGAUGGCGCGGCGCGGCGCGCGGAGGGAGGGAGGGAGGGAGCGGUGGUUCAGCCUCUACCUUGGUGCCUUCGUGACAUUCGGAGCCAUCGUGACUUCAUUCAAUCAACGCACGCAUCCUGCCUCCAAUUAA
RNAcentral lists this long non-coding RNA (1322 nucleotides) under Betta splendens (Siamese fighting fish). Its description in RNAcentral is "lncRNA (ENSBSLG00000011967.1)". Lineage: Eukaryota; Metazoa; Chordata; Actinopteri; Anabantiformes; Osphronemidae. The record is from RNAcentral.